GUGGGGAGAAGCAUAUCCCACAGCUGCCAGCGGUUAGAAGGCUCUUGGCCAGUUGGUUUCACAAGACUUGGUUAUCUUGGUGCAAAGAUGCCAUCUCUCGCCGUUGGGGGAGGCAGAGGGCGGAGGAAGCUCAUGGACCAGUGCCUGGCCCUCAGGCACUCUGAGAACCUGACUGAAGUCACAAACGCUCUCUCAGAAAGGCGUGCGUGUGCACACUCUCACCCCAUUUUGACGUCAGUUCAAGGGGGAUCAUAGGACCCCCGGUGCCCACGUGGGACCCCACCCUAGUUAAGAGGCUCUGCUUCCAUGUUUCUUUAUUUUAUUUUUUUAGGACUUCACCCACAUAUGAAAGUUCCCAAUCUAGGGGUCUAAUCAGAGCUAUAGCUGCCAGCCUAUGCCACAGCCACAGCCUCUUCUGCGACCUGCACCGCAGCUCAGGGCAACGCUGGAUCCUUAACCCACGAAGCAAGGCCAGGGAUUGACCCGUGUCCUCAUGGAUACUAGUUGGCUUCUUAACCCACCGAGCCACUCUGGGAAUUCCUUGCAUGUCUCUUUAAACCCCUCUAGGCCCUGGGGGUCCCAGGCCAAGUGGAUGGUUCUGGCUACAUCAUGGUGAAUGCUAUGGCUGUGGAUGCCCAGGUGCUGUUUACUAUGGAUGCCAGCAUGCUACGGGGGCUGCUUGUCCUCAAGACCACCAAGACCCAGCAGGAAGUGAACUUGCUGCUCACACACAACCUGCCCCCGCCUGGCCCCUUGGCCCUCCCAUCCCGUAUCCUGCUGGACCUGACCACCAAGAGGCUCGGACCUAGCUAUAGACACGCCCUGAGGGUCGGAGUGGAUGGCAGACAGGUGGGGUUCUGCCAGCAGGGCCUCGGGGAACUAGAGGCUGUGGGGAUGGCCCAGCCCAAUGGCCCAGGUCUCACUGUCAUCUGCUCUGACAGGUGUCGGAGGAGCUGACCUUCACUCAGCAUCCAGAGCACGUCUCCCUGGCCUGCACGCUCCAGCACAACAUCCCCGCACUGCGGACGCUGUGGGUGGAGGACAAGCUGGACCUGCAGGUCAGCCUUGGCAAGUGCCAGUGAUAAUGGAAAGCCAUGAUGUUGGUCCUUGAUUCAUUCAACA
RNAcentral lists this long non-coding RNA (1122 nucleotides) under Sus scrofa (pig). RNAcentral's name for it is "lncRNA (ENSSSCG00005024921.1)". Lineage: Eukaryota; Metazoa; Chordata; Mammalia; Artiodactyla; Suidae. The record is from RNAcentral.